Molecule: transfer RNA, 78 nt
Filed under: Bacteroidota bacterium
Lineage: Bacteria; Pseudomonadati; Bacteroidota
Description: Bacteroidetes bacterium tRNA-Val
Rfam family: tRNA
About the family: Transfer RNA (tRNA) molecules are approximately 80 nucleotides in length. Their secondary structure includes four short double-helical elements and three loops (D, anti-codon, and T loops). Further hydrogen bonds mediate the characteristic L-shaped molecular structure. tRNAs have two regions of fundamental functional importance: the anti-codon, which is responsible for specific mRNA codon recognition, and the 3' end, to which the tRNAs corresponding amino acid is attached (by aminoacyl-tRNA synthetases). tRNAs cope with the degeneracy of the genetic code in two manners: having more than one tRNA (with a specific anti-codon) for a particular amino acid; and 'wobble' base-pairing, i.e. permitting non-standard base-pairing at the 3rd anti-codon position.
Source: RNAcentral
GGGCUAUUAGCUCAGUUGGUUCAGAGCGCUGCCUUGACAGGGCAGAGGUCACUGGUUCGAAUCCAGUAUAGCUCACAA